Hordeum vulgare subsp. vulgare (domesticated barley) is the source of this 234-nucleotide long non-coding RNA. RefSeq lists it as uncharacterized. The record is from RefSeq and is a predicted model, not a curated record. The transcript is spliced from 3 exons. NCBI's taxonomy places the organism in Eukaryota, Viridiplantae, Streptophyta, Magnoliopsida, Poales, Poaceae.
GGGUGGCAAUUAUGUUCUUAGAGGUUUGGCUAAAUUCCAAGCACAUAGAUAUGUGUUGUUCAACUGCUUAGAUGUCAACCUAUUCCUUCGAGCUCACGCUGAUGAGCUCAAUAGCGAGCGUGAUGUCUCCUCAAACACAGUCGAGUCCAUCCAGCAUGUUAAGUUCAACGACUGGUUCAAAGCUCAUAUGAUUAAAUUGGAGAAAGAAAAUGGUAUUGGCAGUAUUAACAAUGA